CACUCAUUUUCAUUUUCAAAAAAUGGGAGCCAAACGAGAGCUAAUUCACUCACUCCAUCCCACCCCAACUCAAUUUUCAUCACAAACCGUAAAAAUUACUUCAAUCUCUCUUUUUCUCCCUCUCCCUAUUUCUCUCUUCUCACUUUUUCUACCUACUCUCCCCUCACUAUUUCGACGUCAUUCCCACCCUCAUUCGACAGCUACAAGCGAUAGCAACACUAGAGGCGCAACAGUACUCAUUGCUUGGAGUGACGAAGCAAUAGUGCAGCCUCGAAAACUUGACAACGCACAGCAGUGUCUCGUUGCCGACAGCACCAUUGCGUAGAGUGAGGCGAGGCUCCUGAAGCCCAAAUUCAUAGCGUCGCCUCGAUUCUUUUUUAUGGAGUUUUUUGUUUUUUGAUCCGAUUCACUGUAGGAGGUUUUUUGGUUGGUGAUUUUAUGAUUAGAUUUAUUAUGGUGGCUUGUUGGUUGCGGUUGUGUGGCGGUGGUGUGCAGUGGUUUGAUGGUGGUAGUGGUGUGCGGUGCGGUGCAGCGGCGGCGACGACAAUGAUGGUAUGUGGUUGUUCUUUUUUUUUUUACUAUAACUAGCAGUGGUCAUGGUUUAGUUCGGUGGUUUGCUGGACAACGUGGGGUGGGAAUGGUUUGUGACCAAUUAUUUGAUAUUGUAACCAAUAAUUUGGAUAUUUAUGGACAAUAAAUUAAUGUGACCUAAUUGUGACUCAUAAAUAAAUUGUGAC
Molecule: long non-coding RNA, 737 nt
Filed under: Olea europaea subsp. europaea
Lineage: Eukaryota; Viridiplantae; Streptophyta; Magnoliopsida; Lamiales; Oleaceae
Source: RNAcentral